This 21-nucleotide ribosomal RNA is filed under the name Pichia insulana. RNAcentral's name for it is "partial 28S ribosomal RNA". Lineage: Eukaryota; Fungi; Ascomycota; Pichiomycetes; Pichiales; Pichiaceae. The record is from RNAcentral.
UCGACCUCAAAUCAGGUAGGA